RNAcentral lists this ribosomal RNA (309 nucleotides) under uncultured bacterium. RNAcentral describes it as "partial 16S ribosomal RNA". It matches the Rfam family "Bacterial small subunit ribosomal RNA", at positions 504 to 807 of the family's 1533-position model. The record is from RNAcentral.
AGAGACAGCAGUAGCCGCGGGAAUACAGAGGGUGCGAGCGUUAAUCGGAUUUACUGGGCGUAAAGCGUGCGUAGGCGGCUUUUUAAGUCGGAUGUGAAAUCCCUGAGCUUAACUUAGGAAUUGCAUUCGAUACUGGGAAGCUAGAGUAUGGGAGAGGAUGGUAGAAUUCCAGGUGUAGCGGUGAAAUGCGUAGAGAUCUGGAGGAAUACCGAUGGCGAAGGCAGCCAUCUGGCCUAAUACUGACGCUGAGGUACGAAAGCAUGGGGAGCAAACAGGAUUAGAUACCCCAGUAGUCCCUGUCUCUUAUAC